UACGUAGGGGGCAAGCGUUGUCCGGAUUUACUGGGUGUAAAGGGCGCGUAGGCGGAUUUGUAAGUCAGUGGUGAAAGCCUGUAGCUUAACUACAGAACUGCCUCUGAUACUGCAUAUCUUGAAUUCGGAAGAGAGAAGCGGAAUUCCAGGUGUAGUAGUGAAAUACGUAGAUAUCUGGAAGAACACCAGUGGCGAAGGCGGCUUCUUGGUCCGUAAUUGACGCUGAGGCGCGAAAGCGUGGGGAGCAAACAGG
RNAcentral lists this ribosomal RNA (253 nucleotides) under uncultured bacterium. Its description in RNAcentral is "partial 16S ribosomal RNA". It matches the Rfam family "Bacterial small subunit ribosomal RNA", at positions 524 to 776 of the family's 1533-position model. The record is from RNAcentral.